This is a long non-coding RNA of Corythoichthys intestinalis (scribbled pipefish), 506 nucleotides long. RefSeq lists it as uncharacterized. The record is from RefSeq and is a predicted model, not a curated record. The transcript has 3 exons. NCBI's taxonomy places the organism in Eukaryota, Metazoa, Chordata, Actinopteri, Syngnathiformes, Syngnathidae.
UGAAUUGUAUUAAAUGCGUCAUUCGCUCUCUCAAAAAGUCACAUAAAAAAAAAUAAUAAUAAUAAUUGACCGCGUAGUUUUUGAGUUAUGGCCAUAGCAACACCAUAGCAACGAGGGACGCGCCGUCCUGCCGACCCCUACCUCGUGACGUAACUUCCAGGAAGCCUCGCCACCACUCUGAACACGGAAAUAUAGCACCACGCUAUCCUCGCCAUAUAUUGCAAACAUUUUCUGGGUUUUACUCGCGGGAUUCGUCAUGCCAUCUCGAUGUGUAGCGAUAUGAAUUACUCACAGGAAGACUCGAGACUCUAGGAGUGGUCCAAAAAAAAACUUCUCCUGCAAAGCCACGACAGCUUUGAAAACCUACAACAAUGCAACCUUGGUUUUCCAAAGACGAAGCCAAACAUAAAAAAUUAAGUGGCGGAAACCCUCAACACGAUGAAAAAAGCGUUGCAAGUCAGUUGCCACCCAGUUUCCCAAAAUCAAGUGAGAGUGGUCAUAUGAUG